Molecule: ribosomal RNA, 461 nt
Filed under: uncultured bacterium
Lineage: Bacteria
Description: partial 16S ribosomal RNA
Rfam family: Bacterial small subunit ribosomal RNA
Source: RNAcentral
GAUGAACGCUGGCGGCGUGCCUAAUACAUGCAAGUCGAGCGGUCAGGCUCCUUCGGGAGUACACGAGCGGCGGACGGGUGAGUAAUACGUAGGAACGUACCCCAAAGUGAGGAACAACCAGCCGAAAGGUUGGCUAAUACCGCAUAUGCUCUACGGAGUAAAGCAGCAAUGCGCUUUGGGAACGGCCUGCGUCCGAUUAGCUAGUUGGUAAGGUAAAGGCUUACCAAGGCGACGAUCGGUAGCUGUUCUGAGAGGAUGAUCAGCCACACUGGAACUGAGACACGGUCCAGACUCCUACGGGAGGCAGCAGUAGGGAAUUUUCCACAAUGGGCGAAAGCCUGAUGGAGCAACGCCGCGUGCAGGAUGAAGGCCUUAGGGUUGUAAACUGCUUUUAUCUGUGACGAUUAUGACAGUAGCAGAUGAAUAAGGAUCGGCUAACUCCGUGCCAGCAGCCGCGGUAA